GCCUAUCAGCUUGUUGGUGGGGUAACGGCCUACCAAGGCAUCGACGGGUAGCUGGUCUGAGAGGAUGAUCAGCCACACUGGGACUGAGACACGGCCCAGACUCCUACGGGAGGCAGCAGUGGGGAAUCUUGCGCAAUGGGCGAAAGCCUGACGCAGCAACGCCGCGUGCGGGAAGAAGGCUCUCGGGUUGUAAACCGCUUUCAGCAGGAACGAAAAUGACGGUACUUGCAGAAGAAGGUGCGGCCAACUACGUGCCAGCGGCCGCGGUGACACGUAGGCACCAAGCGUUGUCCGGAUUUAUUGGGCGUAAAGAGCUCGUAGGCGGUUCGGUAAGUCGGGUGUGAAAACUUUGGGCUUAACCCAAAGCCUGCAUCCGAUACUGCUGUGACUAGAGUUCGGUAGGGGAGUGGGGAAUUCCUAGUGUAGCGGUGAAAUGCGCAGAUAUCAGGAGGAACACCGGUGGCGAAGGCGCCACUCUGGGCCGAAACUGACGCUGAGGAGCGAAAGCGUGGGUAGCAAACAGGAUUAGAUACCCUGGUAGUCCACGCCGUAAACGAUGGGCACUAGGUGU
Molecule: ribosomal RNA, 571 nt
Filed under: uncultured Actinomycetes bacterium
Lineage: Bacteria; Bacillati; Actinomycetota; Actinomycetes
Description: bacterial SSU rRNA
Rfam family: Bacterial small subunit ribosomal RNA
Source: RNAcentral